GAUGAAGAACGUAGCGAAAUGCGAUAAGUAGUGUGAAUUGCAGAAUUACCUGAAUCAUCGAAUCUUUGAACGCACAUUGCGCCCCCUGGUAUUCCGGGGGGCAUGCCUGUCCGAGCGUCAUUGCUGCCCUCAAGCACGGCUUGUGUGUUGGGCCUCCGUCCUCCUCCCGGGGGACGGGCCCGAAAGGCAGCGGCGGCACCGCGUCCGGUCCUCGAGCGUAUGGGGCUUCGUCACCCGCUCUUGUAGGCCCGGCCGGCGCUUGCCGACACAUCAAUCUUUUUUCCAGGUUGACCUCGGAUCAGGUAGGGAUACCCGCUGAACUUAAGCAUAUCAAUAAGCGGAGGA
RNAcentral lists this unclassified non-coding RNA (345 nucleotides) under soil metagenome. RNAcentral describes it as "partial contains 5.8S ribosomal RNA, internal transcribed spacer 2, and large subunit ribosomal RNA". The stretch from base 1 to 120 matches the Rfam family "5.8S ribosomal RNA", at positions 35 to 154 of the family's 154-position model. The record is from RNAcentral.